Non-coding RNA from Myotis brandtii (Brandt's bat), 68 nucleotides. The record is from Rfam. NCBI's taxonomy places the organism in Eukaryota, Metazoa, Chordata, Mammalia, Chiroptera, Vespertilionidae.
GGCCAGGUGGUUCAGUAGGUUAGAGCGUUGUCCUGACAUGGCAAAAUUGCCAGUUCAAUCCCUGGUCA